This 1235-nucleotide ribosomal RNA is filed under the name metagenome. RNAcentral describes it as "bacterial LSU rRNA". It matches the Rfam family "Bacterial large subunit ribosomal RNA", at positions 1564 to 2808 of the family's 2925-position model. The record is from RNAcentral.
UGAAUACGAGACGCUACGGUGUCGAAGCAGUCUAUGUCAUACUUCCAAGAAAAGCUCGCAAUGUCAUAAACAAAUAAUGCCUGUACCAUAACCGACACAGGUGGGUAGGUAGAGUAUACUAAGGGGCGCGAGAUAACUCUCUCUAAGGAACUCGGCAAAAUGACUCCGUAACUUCGGGAGAAGGAGUGCCUUAUUUAUAAGGUUGCAAUAACAAGAUCCAAGCAACUGUUUAUCAAAAACACAGGUCUCCGCUAAGUCGUAAGACGAUGUAUGGGGGCUGACGCCUGCCCAGUGCCAGAAGGUUAAAGAAGUUGGUUAGCAUUCGCGAAGCUGAUAACUGAAGCCCUGGUGAACGGCGGCCGUAACUAUAACGGUCCUAAGGUAGCGAAAUUCCUUGUCGGGUAAGUUCCGACCCGCACGAAAGGCGUAAUGAUUUGGAUACUGUCUCGGAGAGGGGCUCGGUGAAAUAGACUUGUCUGUGAAGAUGCGGACUACCUGCACCUGGACAGAAAGACCCUAUGAAGCUUUACUGUAACUUGAAAUUGAAAUUGGACUUUAUUUGCGCAGCAUAGGUGGGAGGCGUUGAGAGUAUUCUUGGGGGAAUAUUGGAGCCAUCAGUGAGAUACCACUCUUGUAAUGUUAGAUUUCUAACUUUGGAUCAUUAUCUGGUCAAAGAACAGUUUCAGGCGGGCAGUUUGACUGGGGCGGUCGCCUCCCAAAUGGUAACGGAGGCGUACAAAGGUUUCCUCUGAACGGGUAGAAAUCGUAUCUAGAGUGUAAAGGCAUAAGGAAGCUUGACUGUGAGACCUACAAGUCGAGCAGGGACGAAAGUCGGUCUUAGUGAUCUGACGGUGCUGAGUGGAAAGGCCGUCACUCAACGGAUAAAAGUUACUCUAAGGAUAACAGGCUGAUCUCCCCCAAGAGUUCACAUCGACGGGGAGGUUUGGCACCUCGAUGUCGGCUCAUCGCAUCCUGGGGCGGUAGUACGUCCCAAGGGUUGGGCUGUUCGCCCAUGAAAGCGGUACGCGAGCUGGGUUCAGAACGUCGUGAGACAGUUCGGUCCAUAUCCGGUGUAGGCGUUAGAAUAUUGAGAGGAGCCUUCUUUAGUACGAGAGGACCGAGAAGGACAUACCUCUGGUGUACCAGUUAUCGUGCCAACGGUAAACGCUGGGUAGCUAUGUAUGGAGAGGAUAACCGCUGAAAGCAUCUAAGUGGGAAGCCCACCUCAAGAUAAG